Non-coding RNA from Caenorhabditis elegans, 21 nucleotides. NCBI's taxonomy places the organism in Eukaryota, Metazoa, Nematoda, Chromadorea, Rhabditida, Rhabditidae. The record is from Ensembl.
UGAAUGGUUGGCCCGAUCGAA